CCUUCGAUAGCUCAGUUGGUAGAGCGGAGGACUGUAGGUGCAAACAGCAGUGAUCCUUAGGUCGCUGGUUCGAAUCCGGCUCGAAGGA
Molecule: non-coding RNA, 88 nt
Organism: Larimichthys crocea (large yellow croaker)
Lineage: Eukaryota; Metazoa; Chordata; Actinopteri; Sciaenidae
Source: Rfam